RNAcentral lists this ribosomal RNA (110 nucleotides) under Nitratireductor aestuarii. Lineage: Bacteria; Pseudomonadati; Pseudomonadota; Alphaproteobacteria; Hyphomicrobiales; Phyllobacteriaceae. The record is from RNAcentral.
UGGUGGUUAUUGCGGGGUGGCUGCACCCGUUCCCAUUCCGAACACGGCCGUGAAACGCCCCUGCGCCAAUGGUACUUUGUCUUAAGACACGGGAGAGUAGGUCGCUGCCA